AGUGGCGAACGGGUGAGUAACACGUGGGGCAACCUGCCCAAAAGAGGGGGAUAACACUUGGAAACAGGUGCUAAUACCGCAUAACCAUAGUUACCGCAUGGUAACUAUGUAAAAGGUGGCUAUGCUACCGCUUUUGGAUGGGCCCGCGGCGCAUUAGCUAGUUGGUGGGGUAAAGGCUUACCAAGGCAAUGAUGCGUAGCCGAACUGAGAGGUUGAUCGGCCACAUUGGGACUGAGACACGGCCCAAACUCCUACGGGAGGCAGCAG
Molecule: ribosomal RNA, 267 nt
Filed under: uncultured bacterium
Lineage: Bacteria
Description: partial 16S ribosomal RNA
Rfam family: Bacterial small subunit ribosomal RNA
Source: RNAcentral